RNAcentral lists this ribosomal RNA (443 nucleotides) under uncultured bacterium. RNAcentral's name for it is "partial 16S ribosomal RNA". It matches the Rfam family "Bacterial small subunit ribosomal RNA", at positions 338 to 795 of the family's 1533-position model. The record is from RNAcentral.
CCUACGGGAGGCAGCAGUGGGGGCUAUUGGACAAUGGGGGAAACCCUGAUCCCGCGAAUCCGCGUGAGUGAAGACGUCUUUCGGUAUGUUAAGCUCUAUCUGCAGGGAAGUAAGAAAUGACGGUACCUGAGUAAGACGCCUCGGCUAAAUAUGUGACACCAGCCGCGGUAAUACGUAGGGCGCAAGCGUUAUCCGGACUUACUGGGUGUAAAGGGAGCGUAGACGGGAAUGCAAGUCUGGAGUGAAAGGCGGGGGCCCACCCCCCGGACUGGUCUGGAAAAUGUGUAACUGGAGUGCAGGUGAGGCAGGCGGAAUUCCUAGUGUAGCGGUGAAAUGCUUAGAUAUUACGAAGAACACCAGUGGCGAAGGCGGCCUGCUGGACUGUAACUGACGUUGAGGCUCGAAAGCGUGGGGAGCAAACAGGAUUAGAUACCCGGGUAGUC